GUAUAAGUUUAUCAACGCUUUUUUAGGGCGAGGACAUAGAUUACAUUCUAUUAGACUGGGUUUAUGAUGAAAGACGUAGGGGCCUUUUUACGGACCCUUACAUUAAGUUCACAGGUGUGUAUGGAUUAAGGGCUCCGGCGUGCACGUGCCCCGAAAGGCCAGCUACAACCCUCGCCUAUAAUUUCAAUAAUGAUCCUUCCGCAGGUUCACCUACGGAAA
RNAcentral lists this unclassified non-coding RNA (219 nucleotides) under uncultured fungus. RNAcentral describes it as "sequence contains ITS1". The record is from RNAcentral. Lineage: Eukaryota; Fungi.